Molecule: non-coding RNA, 27 nt
Filed under: Homo sapiens (human)
Lineage: Eukaryota; Metazoa; Chordata; Mammalia; Primates; Hominidae
Source: RNAcentral
UAGAAGGGAAGAUGACGUGCCCAAGGU